CACUGUUGGUUAUGUGUGCCCAAGCAUUGAGGCAGUCAAAGUAGGCAAAUCCGCUUUGAUAAUGCUGGGAUGUGAUGGGGAGCGAAAUUUAGUAGCGAAGUAGCUGAUUUCACACUGUCAAGAAAAGUCUCUAUCGAGGGUAAAGGUACCCGUACCGCAAACCGACACAGGUGGGUGAGGAGAGUAUCCUAAGGCCAGCGAGAGAACUGUUGUUAAGGAACUCGGCAAAAUGACCCCGUAACUUAGGGAUAAGGGGUGCCACCAUCAGGUGGCCGCAGAGAAUAGGCCCAAGCGACUGUUUACCAAAAACAUAGGUUUCUGCUAAGUCGCAAGACGAUGUAUAGGAGCUGACGCCUGCCCGGUGCUGGAAGGUUAAGGGGAUCUGUUAGAGCAAUCGAAGCAGUGAACUUAAGCCCCAGUAAACGGCGGCCGUAACUAUAACG
This 443-nucleotide ribosomal RNA is filed under the name Clostridioides difficile. Its description in RNAcentral is "bacterial LSU rRNA". It matches the Rfam family "Bacterial large subunit ribosomal RNA", at positions 1493 to 1947 of the family's 2925-position model. The record is from RNAcentral. Lineage: Bacteria; Bacillati; Bacillota; Clostridia; Peptostreptococcales; Peptostreptococcaceae.